RNAcentral lists this long non-coding RNA (5089 nucleotides) under Brassica napus (rape). RNAcentral describes it as "long non-coding RNA (BNAP_LNC009603)". The record is from RNAcentral. Lineage: Eukaryota; Viridiplantae; Streptophyta; Magnoliopsida; Brassicales; Brassicaceae.
UUUAGAAGCUCCUGAAGUACCGGACGUAGUACAAGACCUCAUGGGACGUUACAAGGAUGUCUUCCCUGACGAGAUCCCUGCCGGUUUGCCCCCUAUCCGUGGCAUAGAACAUCAGAUCGAUCUUGUACCCGGCGCGCCACUACCAAACCGAGCCGCUUACCGUGUCAACCCUGAGGAAGCUAAGGAGCUGGAACGGCAGGUCCAAGAUCUCAUGGACAAAGGCUACAUCCGCGAGAGCCUUAGCCCCUGUGCAGUCCCGGUCCUACUAGUGCCUAAGAAAGAUGGGUCAUGGCGCAUGUGUGUGGACUGCCGAGCCAUCAACAACAUAACCAUCAAAUAUCGGUACCCUAUACCUAGAUUAGAUGAUAUGUUGGAUGAACUGAGUGGUUCUGUUGUGUUUUCUAAGAUUGAUCUCAGGAGUGGAUACCAUCAAGUCCGCAUGAAGGAAGGAGAUGAGUGGAAAACCGCCUUCAAGACCAAGCAAGGUCUAUACGAGUGGCUGGUGAUGCCGUUUGGCCUUACCAACGCCCCUAGCACCUUCAUGAGACUCAUGAAUGAGGUCCUCCGACCUUACAUUGGUAAAUUCGUGGUUGUAUACUUUGAUGAUAUCUUGAUAUACAGCAGGUCUUUAACUGAACACAUGGGACACCUAGAACAGGUUUUGAAAGCCUUAAGGGAAGAAGGCCUUUAUGCUAACCUUAAGAAAUGUGUAUUCUGCACUGAUCAAUUGGUAUUUUUAGGCUUUGUUGUGAGUUCACAGGGACUGAAGGUUGAUGAAGAGAAGAUCAAGGCGAUACAAGACUGGCCGACUCCAACCACGAUCGGACAUAUCCGCAGCUUCCAUGGACUGGCCAGUUUCUAUCGACGAUUUGUGAAGGACUUCAGUACCAUUGCCGCCCCAAUGACCUCCGUGAUCAAGAAGAAUGUAACCUUUGCUUGGGGCCCUGCCCAAGAGGAGUCUUUCAACAGGCUUAAAUAUAGCUUGACACAUGCACCGGUUCUAACUCUUCCUAACUUUGAUAAACCUUUUGAGAUUGAGUGUGAUGCUUCAGGGACAGGAAUAGGAGCCGUGCUGACCCAAGGAGGACGGCCAGUGGCCUUUUUCAGUGAGAAAUUGAGUGGAGCCACCCUCAAUUACCCCACCUAUGAUAAAGAGCUAUAUGCUCUAGUAAGGUCGCUUGAAACUUGGCAACAUUAUCUUUUGUCUAAAGAGUUUAUUAUUCAUACAGAUCAUGAGACUCUUAAGCAUUUGAGGGGCCAGACCACACUUAAAAAGAGGCAUGCUAGGUGGCUGGAGUUCGUGGAAACUUUUCCUUAUGUGAUUAAGUACAAGAAGGGAAAGGACAACAUAGUGGCCGACGCCCUAUCCCGGCGCCACACACUCAUUACCACCAUGGAGGCUAAGAUCAUGGGUUUUGAGCAACUCAAAAUAUCUUAUGAAACUGACCCUGAUUUUUCUGAGCUUUACAGUAACACGGCUAAGGGAGCCAUGGGUCCAUUCUAUCAGCAGGACGGAUUCCUCUUCAAGGAGAAACGCCUGUGUAUCCCUCAUGGUUCCAUGCGACAUUUACUGACCAGAGAAGCUCAUGGGGGUGGAUUGAUGGGGCAUUUCGGUCGGGACAAAACUCUGAGUGUCCUGUCCGACCACUUCUAUUGGCCCCGGAUGAGGCGCUACGUCGAGAGCCUUUGCUCCAAGUGCACUGUCUGUCUCAAAACCAAAUCCAGGUCGCAUCCUUAUGGUUUACACAUGCCUUUACCUAUUCCUAUUGCACCGUGGGUCGAUCUGUCUAUGGACUUUGUGCUGGGCUUGCCCAAGACAGAACAUAAGGAUUCUAUUUUUGUUGUAGUGGACAGGUUCUCCAAGAUGGCACACUUCAUUCCGUGUUCCAAAACCAAUGACGCAAGCCAAACCGCUGAUCUCUUCUUCAAGGAAGUGGUGCGUUUACAUGGAGUGCCUCGUACCAUCGUGUCCGACCGAGACACAAAAUUUCUCAGCCACUUCUGGAGGACAUUGUGGAAAAAGCUUGGAACCAAGCUCCUUUUCUCGACCACUUGCCAUCCACAGACUGAUGGACAGACCGAGGUAGUAAACCGUACACUCUCUCAGUUAUUGAGGGCUACGGUGGGUAAGAAUCUUAAAAACUGGCUGAGUUGUUUGCCUUUCAUUGAGUUUGCUUAUAACCAUGCAAGGCACUCUAUUACUAACCUCUCCCCUUUUGAGAUCGUGUACGGCUUUAGACCAGAGACGCCCAUGGACCUAGCCGCAUUGCCCCCAGCCAUGCAAGUCAGCCAGAGUGGUGACAAAAAGGCUGAGUUUGUAAAGAACAUGCACCGGCAAGUCAAGGAGACUUUGGAGAAGAAGGCUGAAAGGAACCGGAUUAAGCUCAACAAGGGGCGCACAGAAGUUAUCUUCCAGCCAGGCGACUGGGUGUGGCUCCACAUGAGGCCAGAACGGUUUCCGGAAGAGAGGAAGAGCAAAUUAUCCCCACGGGGAGAUGGACCAUUCCGAGUGCUCGAUCGGAUCAAUGACAAUGCCUACCGGCUAGAACUGCCAGGUGAGUUCCAAGUUUCCCGAACGUUCAAUGUAUCUGAUUUGUCUCCUUAUAUUGCAGAUGAUGGAGAUGUUCUGAGGACAGAACCUGUUCAAGAUCCGUCAGCACACGCAGGACGUCCGUGGCUGUCCGUGUGUGUCCGUGUGUCCGUCAGCACACGCAAGACGUCCGUCAGUACACACAGGACGUCCGUCAGUACUGUUGUAGUACCCACGACUGAGGUUCCCAUUAUCCGCAAAGGCCCUACCACAAGGUCCGGUUUUUUUGUCUUAACUUUUUGCAUUUACUCUUAGCCUUGGUCGAUACUCAUAGUAUCCGACCCAAGCAACUAUUUAACCCCCUCUUGCCUUUAAUCUUUCUUUGAGUUUCCUUUCAGAGAACUAUGGGAGAUGUAGGUCAAGACCAAGCGGCCAUAAACGCUCAGCUCUUAGCUGACAAUGAAGAACUGAGGGCGAGCCUUAGGACUAUCACAGCCGAGCUUGCUCAGCUCCGGCAGGGAGGCAGGCCCAACGGACCUCGACCACCAGGAAGGCAUCAGCCGGACCCGCAUGACACUGACUCGGACGCGGACAGUACCGAUGAUACGCGCAGUCAGGACGAGGAGAGGCCAAACCGGGGAGGUAGGAGGAACGCGCGAGGACCCCAGGCCCAAGUAGGAGGAGGCCGCGACCAUAGGGGAGGUCGAGACCGAGAAGAGGAAGAGCCUUGGUUGGGAGGCAAGGCACUUAAGCUUCAUCCCCCAACGUUUGCCGGCAAGGUUGAUCCGGAUGCCUACAUCGUGUGGGAGAAGCGCAUGGAGUACAUCUUCGACUAUUACCAAUAUAGUGAGGCCAAGAAGGUUGCCCUAGCAGCAGCCCAGCUGACGGACAAUGCUCUUUCGUGGUGGGAUUGAGACGUUGCCAAGUCCGGGCCAGUGUGGAGAGCGCGUAAUUGGACCGAGAUGCGGACCAAGCUUCGCGCGAGGUACAUUCCAUCUUACUACCAGCGUGAUGUGCUAAAACGUUUUCGUAAACUUACGCAGGGAACUAAGACUGUGGAGGAGUACUUUGAGGAGUUCGAGGCUCUUAGGAAUAAGCUUGAGACCGACGAGCCCGAGGAGACAAUGAUGUCCCAAUUCCUGGAAGGGCUGCAAGACCGCAUUGCCCGCAAGGUGGAGAGACAACACUAUGAAGACUUCAACGAUCUAUUGCACUUUGCUACGCAAGCCGAGCAGCACAUCAAGCGCAAGACGGCCAGUACCAGCCGCAGCAAACCUGCUUGGACUCAACCGGGUUCAAAGCAAGGCGACAAGGGCAAGACGAUUGAGAUUGAGAGCCGAUUCAAGACAAACCCGGCUGAAUCGUCCAAUGCAUCUAAGCCGGAGCAGGGUAAGACUCAAGCCCAAAAUUUGCGUACUCGUGACAUCAUUUGUUAUAAGUGUCAGGGCAAGGGCCACUAUGCUCGGGAUUGUCCAAACAAACGAGUGAUGGUCCUAAAGGGGGAUGGCGAGUAUGAAUCCCAAGAUGAGGCAGAGGCCGCGGCAGCGAUCUCUGAUGAGGAAGUAACCGACUACCCGGAGACAGGCGAGCUGCUAGUGACCCGGAGAGCCCUUAGCACCCUCUUUGACCCAGAGACCAUCCAGCGGGAGAACAUCUUCCACACCAGAUGUAGUGUUGAUCACAAGGUAUGUAGUUUGAUCAUAGAUGGCGGAUCUUGUACUAACGUGGCUAGCAAGUAUCUUGUUGAUAAGCUAGGGUUGAUCAAAACUGCCCAUCCUCGACCAUACCGUCUCAAAUGGCUCAAUGAUGAGACUGAGCUCAAGAUUGCCGAACAAGUUGUUGUGUCCUUCAGUAUUGGCAAGUACCACGACCAGGUCAAGUGUGAUGUUGUGCCCAUGCAAGCCGGCCAUAUACUUCUCGGAAGGCCAUGGCAGUUUGACAAGGAGACACUUCACCAUGGCCGCACCAACAUCUACAGUUUCGUCCACAACAACAAGAAGCACAGCCUAGCACCUCUCAGCCCCCAAGAAGUUCAUGAUAUGCAGAAGGCAAUGACGCAAUCCGGCCAGGUAAGUAACACUAACCUUUACAUGACUUCUGGACAAGUGCUUAAAUCAUUACAACGUGAGACACAGGUGCUACUAAUGAUCUUUAAGGAAGGUUGUUUUGCAGGUUUAGAAGCUCCUGAAGUACCGGACGUAGUACAAGACCUCAUGGGACGUUACAAGGAUGUCUUCCCUGACGAGAUCCCUGCCGGUUUGCCCCCUAUCCGUGGCAUAGAACAUCAGAUCGAUCUUGUACCCGGCGCGCCACUACCAAACCGAGCCGCUUACCGUGUCAACCCUGAGGAAGCUAAGGAGCUGGAACGGCAGGUCCAAGAUCUCAUGGACAAAGGCUACAUCCGCGAGAGCCUUAGCCCCUGUGCAGUCCCGGUCCUACUAGUGCCUAAGAAAGAUGGGUCAUGGCGCAUGUGUGUGGACUGCCGAGCCAUCAACAACAUAACCAUCAAAUAUCGGUACCCUAUACCUAGAUUAGAUGAUAUGUUGGAUGAACUGAGUG